GACAAAAUAAGCUAAUUUAAGCUAUUGGGCUCAUAAUCCAAUUAUGAGGACCUCUCUCUUUUGUUA
Molecule: transfer RNA, 66 nt
Filed under: Nuttallina californica
Lineage: Eukaryota; Metazoa; Mollusca; Polyplacophora; Chitonida; Tonicellidae
Description: tRNA-Met
Source: RNAcentral